RNAcentral lists this ribosomal RNA (460 nucleotides) under uncultured bacterium. RNAcentral's name for it is "partial 16S ribosomal RNA". It matches the Rfam family "Bacterial small subunit ribosomal RNA", at positions 338 to 795 of the family's 1533-position model. The record is from RNAcentral.
CCUACGGGGGGCAGCAGUGAGGAAUAUUGGUCAAUGGGCGAGAGCCUGAACCAGCCAAGUCGCGUGAAGGAUGACGGCCCUACGGGUUGUAAACUUCUUUUGUCAGGGAGCAAUUGGGUCCACGCGUGGGCUUAGCGAGAGUACCUGAAGAAAAAGGAUCGGCUAACUCCGUGCCAGCAGCCGCGGUAAGACGGAGGAUCCGAGCGUUAUCCGGAUUUAUUGGGUUUAAAGGGGCCGUAGGCGGACGGUUAAGUCAGCGGUAAAAGCUCGGGCCUCAACCCCGGCGAGCCGUUGAAACUGGCUGUCUUGAGAAGUCGAGAGGUAUGCGGAAUGCGAAGUGUAGCGGUGAAAUGCUUAGAUAUCGCGAAGAACUCCGAUUGCGAAGGCAGUACACCGGCGGCGAUCUGACGCUGAGGCACGAAAGCGUGGGUAUCGAACAGGAUUAGAUACCCGAGUAGUC